This 120-nucleotide ribosomal RNA is filed under the name Streptomyces sp. WAC06273. RNAcentral describes it as "partial 16S ribosomal RNA". It matches the Rfam family "Bacterial small subunit ribosomal RNA", at positions 1425 to 1533 of the family's 1533-position model. The record is from RNAcentral. RNAcentral also lists the same sequence under 1 other name. Lineage: Bacteria; Bacillati; Actinomycetota; Actinomycetes; Kitasatosporales; Streptomycetaceae.
AGCCGGUGGCCCAACCCCUUGUGGGAGGGAGCUGUCGAAGGUGGGACUGGCGAUUGGGACGAAGUCGUAACAAGGUAGCCGUACCGGAAGGUGCGGCUGGAUCACCUCCUUUCUAAGGAG